RNAcentral lists this ribosomal RNA (776 nucleotides) under uncultured Neocallimastigales. RNAcentral's name for it is "partial large subunit ribosomal RNA". It matches the Rfam family "Eukaryotic large subunit ribosomal RNA", at positions 22 to 629 of the family's 3401-position model. The record is from RNAcentral. Lineage: Eukaryota; Fungi; Neocallimastigomycota; Neocallimastigomycetes; Neocallimastigales.
UCUAUACAUGACUCUGCGCAUAUCAAUAAGCGGAGGAAAAGAAACUAACAAGGAUUCCCCUAGUAACGGCGAGUGAAGCGGGAAGAGCUCAAAUUUGAAAUCUUAAAGGGUUUCCCUUUACGAAUUGUAGUUUAAAGAAGUGUUUUCUGUUGAGGUUUUGGUAAAAGUUCUUUGGAAUAGGACAUCAUAGAGGGUGAGAAUCCCGUAUUUGACCAUUACUUUCAGCUUUGUGAUACACUUUCAAAGAGUCGGAUUGUUUGGGAAUGCAGUCCAAAAUGGGUGGUAAAUUUCAUCUAAAGCUAAAUAUUGGCGAGAGACCGAUAGCGAACAAGUACCGUGAGGGAAAGAUGAAAAGAACUUUGAAAAGAGAGUUAAACAGUACGUGAAAUUGUCAAAAGGGAAGCGUUUGACACCAGUGUUGUUUUUCUGAAAAUCAAUUAAAGAACUGUUUAUGCUAAGUUGUUUAGACUUUAUCAGCUAAUCUGUUUAGUUUUGAGCUUUUCUUUAAUGCACUUUUCAGUUAACAAGUCAACAUCAAUUUCUUUUGCUGUAAAAAAGCUUGAGGAAGGUGGCUUGAGAUUCGUCUUAAGUGUUUAUAGCCUCUUGCCUAUGCAGUCGGAGAGAUUGAGGUCUGCAGCGUAGAUCCUUCGGGGCUAAAUGCAUUUGUGCUAAGUUAUAGCAUUUUAUAGACAACUUGUUGACUAUGAUUAGUCUUGUAGCUUACUCGCUUAUGCUAUUUUACCUACGCUUAGGAUGUUGACAGCAGUAUAGACUGU